RNAcentral lists this small RNA (158 nucleotides) under uncultured Blautia sp. Its description in RNAcentral is "Clostridiales-1 RNA". It matches the Rfam family "Clostridiales-1 RNA". The record is from RNAcentral. Lineage: Bacteria; Bacillati; Bacillota; Clostridia; Lachnospirales; Lachnospiraceae.
GAUACCAGGGUCGAAAAGUCAACAGCCGCCUAUGCUUGCAUUAAGGUGGCUGAUUGACCUUGAGACCCGCCAAAAUAUGAGGAAGAAGUGGGGCAGGGGCCCCAUGAAUUCCGAAUAUUUUGCAGAAUUGUGGAAGCACGAAGUGCGAAACAAUUCGC